UGUCUCAGUACAAGCCAAAUUAAGGUGAAACCGCGAAAGGCUCAUUAAAUCAGUUAUGGUUCCUUAGAUCGUACCCACACUUACUUGGAUAACUGUGGUAAUUCUAGAGCUAAUACAUGCAAACAGAGCUCCGACCGGAGACGGAAGGAGCGCUUUUAUUAGAUCAAAACCAAUCGGUGGCGGGUUCGCUCGUCAUCGUAUAACUUGGUGACUCUGAAUAACUUUAAGCUGAUCGCACGGUCUAGCACCGGCGACGCAUCUUUCAAAUGUCUGCCUUAUCAACUGUCGAUGGUAGGUUCUGCGCCUACCAUGGUCGUAACGGGUAACGGGGAAUCAGGGUUCGAUUCCGGAGAGGGAGCCUGAGAAACGGCUACCACAUCCAAGGAAGGCAGCAGGCGCGCAAAUUACCCACUCCCGGCACGGGGAGGUAGUGACGAAAAAUAACGAUACGGGACUCAUCCGAGGCCCCGUAAUCGGAAUGAGUACACUCUAAACCCUUUAACGAGGAUCAAUUGGAGGGCAAGUCUGGUGCCAGCAGCCGCGGUAAUUCCAGCUCCAAUAGCGUAUAUUAAAGUUGUUGCGGUUAAAAAGCUCGUAGUCGAAUUUGUGUCCCGCGCCGCCGGUUCAUCGUCCGCGGUGUUAACUGGCGUGCCGCGGGACGUCCUGCCGGUGGGCUUAGCUCUUCGGGGCGGUCCAACUCAAUCCCGCCGCGGUGCUCUUCACUGAGUGUCGAGGUGGGCCGGCACGUUUACUUUGAACAAAUUAGAGUGCUUAAAGCAGGCUAAAACUUCGCCUGAAUACUGUGUGCAUGGAAUAAUGGAAUAGGACCUCGGUUCUAUUUUGUUGGUUUUCGGAACCCCGAGGUAAUGAUUAAUAGGAACGGAUGGGGGCAUUCGUAUUGCGA
Molecule: ribosomal RNA, 904 nt
Filed under: Thriocerodes anthicides
Lineage: Eukaryota; Metazoa; Arthropoda; Insecta; Coleoptera; Cleridae
Description: SSU rRNA
Rfam family: Eukaryotic small subunit ribosomal RNA
Source: RNAcentral